GGUUUUCUGGAGAAAAUGCCUAAUUUGAAUCUAGUCAUUUAUGUAGCACGGCUCUACUGGCACAAAGAGGAAAACAAUCGUCAGGGUCUGUGGAGCCUGAUGAACAUCGGCGUGUCCAUCCAAGUCAUGGAUCUCUCAGCUGGUUCUUCCUAAGGGUGAUGUGUCUCCAUGGCAGAAGCCCAAUACAUGGCCUUGCUCCCUUGAGCCUGACUGAUCUCUGAGUGGGCUGAGUCCACUGAUGUCUCCUUCAGCUCAUAAGUGAAUAGGUCCAUUUCCCCAGAUUAUGGUGACUGUUGGAGAACAUUUGUCAAUGAUGAGGACAAGUAUGAAGAUGAGUAUUGGCCCAGGCACUUCGCUCCAUGGAUAAUGCUAUAUUCUCUCGAACUCCAGUCCAUACUUCAGGACAUUCCCUCUUGCUUAACGAUUUCAU
Chelonia mydas (Green sea turtle) is the source of this 430-nucleotide long non-coding RNA. RefSeq lists it as uncharacterized. NCBI's taxonomy places the organism in Eukaryota, Metazoa, Chordata, Testudines, Cheloniidae. The record is from RefSeq and is a predicted model, not a curated record. The transcript has 3 exons.